This 1520-nucleotide ribosomal RNA is filed under the name uncultured prokaryote. RNAcentral describes it as "partial 16S ribosomal RNA". It matches the Rfam family "Bacterial small subunit ribosomal RNA". The record is from RNAcentral.
AGAGUUUGAUCCUGGCUCAGAACGAACGCUCGCGGCGUGGUUUAGGCAUGCAAGUCGAGCGAGAAAGUUCCCUUCGGGGAGCGAGUACAGCGGCGAAAGGGUGAGUAAUGCAUAGGGAACCUACCUCCCGGACCGGGAUAAUUCUUGGAAACGAGUUGUAAUACCGGAUGGUCCUCGAGAAGCGCCUGUUCUUCUUGGUAAAUGGUUGCCUAUGCUUCUGCCGAGAGAGGGGCCUAUGUCCUAUUAGCUUGUUGGUGAGGUAACGGCUCACCAAGGCAAUGAUGGGUAGCCGGACUGAGAGGUUGGCCGGUCACACUGGGACUGAGACACUGCCCAGACUCCUACGGGAGGCUGCAGUCGAGAAUCUUCCGCAAUGGACGAAAGUCUGACGGGGCGACGCCGCGUGAACGAAGAAGGCCUUCGGGUUGUAAAGUUCUGUCAUGGGGAAGAAUCGCUGGGGGUUAAUAGCCUUCCAGCUUGACGUUACCUAUAGAGGAAGCCCUGGCUAACUCCGUGCCAGCAGCCGCGGUAAUACGGAGAGGGCAAGCGUUGUUCGGAAUCACUGGGCAUAAAGCGCACGUAGGCGGAUUGGAUAGUCGGUUGUGAAAGCCCGGGGCUCAACCCCGGAAUGGCUUCCGAAACUGCCAGUCUGGAGGACGAGAGGGGAGAGUGGAACUUCUGGUGGAGCGGUGAAAUGCGUAGAUAUCAGAAGGAACACCGGUGGCGAAAGCGACUCUCUGGCUCGUUUCUGACGCUGAGGUGCGAAAGCUAGGGUAGCGAACGGGAUUAGAUACCCCGGUAGUCCUAGCCGUAAACGAUGAGCACUAGGUAGGGGAGGUUCUGACGCCUUCCCUGCUGUAGCUAAUGUGUUAAGUGCUCCGCCUGGGGAGUAUGGUCGCAAGGCUAAAACUCAAAGGAAUUGACGGGGGCUCACACAAGCGGUGGAGCAUGUGGUUUAAUUCGAAGCAACGCGCAGAACCUUACCUGGGUUUGACCGCUAGUUGUAGGCUCCUGAAAAGGAGCCGAACUGCGUAAGCAGAAGGCUAGUACAGGUGCUGCAUGGCUGUCGUCAGCUCGUGUCGUGAGAUGUCGGGUUAAGUCCCUUAACGAGCGAAACCCCUACUGUCUAGUUGCCAACGGGUAAUGCCGGGGACUCUAGCGGGACUGCCGUGGUUAACACGGAGGAAGGCGGGGAUGACGUCAAGUCCUCAUGGCCCUUAUACCUGGGGCUACACACGUGCUACAAUGGCAAGUACAAAGGGCAGCAAUACGGUAACGUGGAGCAAAUCCCACAAAGCUUGUCUCAGUACGGAUAGAGGGCUGCAAUUUGCCCUCUUGAAGUUGGAAUCGCUAGUAAUCGCGGAUCAGCAACGCCGCGGUGAAUAUGUUCCUGAGCCUUGUACACACCGCCCGUCAAGCCACGGGAGCUGGUAGUGCCCGAAGUCGCUGACCCAACCUUAGGGAGGGAGGGGCGCCGACGGUAAGACCGGUGACUGGGACUAAGUCGUAACAAGGUAACC